RNAcentral lists this ribosomal RNA (484 nucleotides) under uncultured bacterium. Its description in RNAcentral is "partial 16S ribosomal RNA". It matches the Rfam family "Bacterial small subunit ribosomal RNA", at positions 30 to 507 of the family's 1533-position model. The record is from RNAcentral.
AUUUAACUCUAGCGGGAUGCUUUACACAUGCAAGUCGAACGGCAGCGCGGACUUCGGUCUGGCGGCGAGUGGCGAACGGGUGAGUAAUGUAUCGGAACGUGCCCAGUAGCGGGGGAUAACUACGCGAAAGCGUAGCUAAUACCGCAUACGCCCUACGGGGGAAAGCAGGGGAUCGUAAGACCUUGCACUAUUGGAGCGGCCGAUAUCGGAUUAGCUAGUUGGUGAGGUAACGGCUCACCAAGGCGACGAUCCGUAGCUGGUUUGAGAGGACGACCAGCCACACUGGGACUGAGACACGGCCCAGACUCCUACGGGAGGCAGCAGUGGGGAAUUUUGGACAAUGGGGGCAACCCUGAUCCAGCCAUCCCGCGUGUGCGAUGAAGGCCUUCGGGUUGUAAAGCACUUUUGGCAGGAAAGAAACGUCGCGGGCUAAUACCCCGUGGAACUGACGGUACCUGCAGAAUAAGCACCGGCUAACUACGUG